GUUGAAACACCGGUUCCCGUACGAUCACUAAAGUUAAGCAACGUCGAUCCUGGUCAGUCCCUAGAUGAGAGACCGCCUGGGAAUAUCGGAAGUUGUAAG
Non-coding RNA from Acanthosepion pharaonis, 99 nucleotides. The record is from the annotation of a GenBank genome assembly. Lineage: Eukaryota; Metazoa; Mollusca; Cephalopoda; Sepiida; Sepiidae.